UGGGGAAUCUUCCGCAAUGGACGAAAGUCUGACGGAGCAACGCCGCGUGAGUGAAGAAGGUUUUCGGAUCGUAAAACUCUGUCUUUUGGGGCGAACGUGAGUAUGGUGAACAAUCAUAGUCAGUGACGGUACCAAAGGAGGAAGCCACGGCUAACUACGUGCCAGCAGCCGCGGUAAUACGUAGGUGGCAAGCGUUGUCCGGAAUUAUUGGGCGUAAAGAGCGCGUAGGCGGGAUAGUCAGUCUGUUGUAAAGUGCGGGGCUCAACCCCGUGAUCGCAAUGGAAACAGCUAUUCUUGAGUGCAGGAGAGGAAAGUGGAAAUUCCCAGUGUAGCGGUGAAAAUGCGUAGAUAUUGGGAGGAACACCAGUGGCGAAGGCGACUUUCUGGACUGUGUCUGACGCUGAGGCGCGAAAGCCAGGGGAGCGAACGGGAUUAGAUACCCCCGGUAGUCCUGGGCCGUAAAACGAUGGGUACUAGGUGUGGGAGGUAUCGAACCCCCUUGCCGUGCCGGGAGUUAACGCAAAUAAGUACCCCCGCCUGGGGGAGUACGGUCGCAAGACUGAAAANUCAAAUGAAUUGACGGGGGUCAUAGCUGUUUCCUG
This 602-nucleotide ribosomal RNA is filed under the name uncultured bacterium. RNAcentral's name for it is "partial 16S ribosomal RNA". It matches the Rfam family "Bacterial small subunit ribosomal RNA", at positions 355 to 941 of the family's 1533-position model. The record is from RNAcentral.